Gadus morhua (Atlantic cod) is the source of this 1168-nucleotide long non-coding RNA. RefSeq lists it as uncharacterized. The transcript has 2 exons. Lineage: Eukaryota; Metazoa; Chordata; Actinopteri; Gadiformes; Gadidae. The record is from RefSeq and is a predicted model, not a curated record.
GUCAAGUGGACCGGGGGCCCGUUUCAGAAAGCAGGUUUUUGUGAAAACUCUGAGUUAGUUAAACCCGAGAUGGUUUUUCGGUUUCACAAAGCCAGUUCAGCAUAACUCGGAGUCAGUUACCCUAGCAACAUACUCUGUGAAACUAACCUGCUCGCUGAGUUUCACCUGCUCUUAAGUUGAAGCCUGCAGACGGAAGGCAGUGGCAGACAUGGCGUGUCCUUUUAUUGAAGAGCCAGUUGAUGUCAAGGCGCAGAUACUCCGCAGAAAUCUCCGUCGGGAGAGGGUUAUUAGACCCCGAUUGGAUGUUUUAUCAUUCCCUGAUGAGUAUCUGUUUGAGCGUUUCCGUUUCUCUGCAUCAUCUAUAAUUUAUCUAAACAAUAUUCUCAGCCUUCACAUAGUUCACAUGACACAUCGUGGACACGCUCUCAGUUCCGAGCAAAUUCUUUGUAUCGCACUGCGUCUUUUUGCCAACGGCAGUUUUUUGUAUAACGUCGGUGAUGCAGAGCAUGUGUCCAAGGGUUGUUCGAAAUGUGACACUUGCACUGAAACAGCUACUAUACACGUCUGUAGUGUUCCCAAGUCACGGACCCAGCAGACUUCUCAAAGAAGAGUUCCACAGAAUUGCAGUCUAAGCAAUAAUUUUUUGCCCGUGGAGAGUUUGAUGGUUAUCUACUCGGAGACAGAGGGUACCCCUGCCAGCGCUAUCCGCUGACCCCUUACCCUGGCCCACAGCGACACUACAACUUGGCUCACUGCAGGACACGAGCCAGAGUGGAGAUGACCAUCGGCAUACUCAAGGCCCGGUUCCAGGGCCUUCGUAGCCUCAGGGUCACCCCGGAAAGGGCUUGUGACAUUAUAGUGGCAUGUGUGGUCCUCCACAACAUUGCCACUAUUAGAGGAGAACAAUGUCCUACUCUUUCCCCCAAUGAUCCAGAUAAUAAUCCUGACCCCCCUGCUGAUGCACGAGAUGGAAGAGCUGUUAGAGACAUGAUAUGCUUCAAUCAUUUCUAACUGACCCAUCACCUCCCCAGUGUCAAAGAACGACAAUAUGCCUCAUUUUAUGGGGUCUUCUUUAUUUCCUAGAAGGGCAAAUGUUGUACAGUUGUUAAUCCUUUGUUGUUGAAACAAUUAAAAAACAUCCACCUGUGGGCACGUCACCCACCUUUAA